Molecule: long non-coding RNA, 1442 nt
Organism: Chenopodium quinoa (quinoa)
Lineage: Eukaryota; Viridiplantae; Streptophyta; Magnoliopsida; Caryophyllales; Amaranthaceae
Exons: 2
Source: RefSeq, a predicted model, not a curated record
CGUUAGAUCUGACGCUAUAAACGACUAAGAUUAGUUCGCAGUUCUUAUUAUUUAAGGUAGUUCGUACGAGAUCUAAUUUCUAUAUAUAUAUACAGGACCAGAUUAUAAUGAGAACCAAUCCUAUAAUAGGAACAAAGAACUAAUCUGGACCGUCAGAUCUAAAAUAAAAGGCGCGUGAUCUAACGGCCCAAAUUAAAUCAGACGAAUUGAAUGAGCUUCUCUCUCCUCUCUCCUGCGCGAUUUUCUCUCUCCUCUUUGUCAUAUCAUUGACGCCAUUGUUCUCUCUCCUCAAGCUUUCUCAAUUCAAUCAAUAGCUCCAAUAUCAGAAAAAAUUGCUAUAAUUUACAUACUUCUUCAAUGUUGUGCUAAAUUCGCUGCAAAAUUUGUCAACGUUAGAGUUUUGAGGAGGCCAGGAAGUAGGAAGAUAGCUGCUUGUGGACUACUUUGUGUUGUUGUUGUGGUGUGGAUAAGCUGGCAGCAAGAUUGAUGAGAGGUGAAUGUGGAUUUUUGUGUAGGUUGAAUUUUUAUUCUAGAAUCUGUAAAAUUAUAAGUGGACUUGAAUAUAAUUCCACUAAAAGUAAACUAAAUAUUUUUAAUAGUAGAUUAAAUUGCUCAAAUAAAAAGUAGAUAAUCAAUGAGUUUAUGGUUGAGGAUUUUUACCCCCUAUAAUAAGCAGAUAGAAAUAUGAUAAGAGUAAAUCAAAAGGGGGGUGCUGGUAUGCCCCUUCCUAUAGCCUGGUCACCACCUGAUGAGGGGUGGGGAAAGCUAAAUGUUGAUGCUGGAGUUGUAGGGGAAUCAGGGACUGGUCUGGGGGCAGUGUUGCGUGAUUAUAAUGGCUCAGUUCAGGGUUAUUCUAUGGUGCAGGGCAUCGAGUGAUGGAAGACAAAUGUAGCUGAAGCUACGGCUAUCAUAUGGGGUAUGAAAUUUGCGUAUGACUUGGGCUGGAAAGUAUUAUUGUAGAAGGAGAUUGCCUUGCUGUCAUUCAGGCUUUGAGAAACAAGUCAGUAGGAUCAAGCUCAUUGCAUUUAGUUUUAGAGGAUAUUUUAGAGAUGUCUUCAAUGUUUGUUUGCAUUAAAUGGUCUUUUGUUAAGUGCGGUGGGAAUAGAGUGGCACACGAAUUGGCUCACUUCCAACCUUGGGAAAUCGAUCAAAGAGUGUGGAAUAAUGUAAUCCCACCCCGUAUUCUUGAUGUAACUUGCUCUGAUUUAACUAUUUAGUUCCCUUUGUGGGUUCUUUCAAAAAAAAAAUAUAAGUAUAUUUCAUCUGCCUGUAUAGUUUUGCUCCAACUAGAAGUGCUUCGUAACUAUAGAUCAUCUUCACAGUUUUUGCAUCAACUAGUUGUGCUCAUUAUUGUGCUAAUGAGAGUCGUAUCUAUGAAAUUGCUAUUAGUUGGAAGUCUUAUUUUGCUAUUAUCUAUAAUAUGUUGCUAUAGUUUUGCUCUA